RNAcentral lists this ribosomal RNA (448 nucleotides) under bacterium CPTAC110. Its description in RNAcentral is "bacterial SSU rRNA". It matches the Rfam family "Bacterial small subunit ribosomal RNA", at positions 948 to 1387 of the family's 1533-position model. The record is from RNAcentral.
UUUUUGUGAACGCGAAGAACCUUACCUACCCUUGACAUGCCACUAACGAAGCAGAGAUGCAUUAGGUGCUAGAAAAGAGAAAGUGGACACAGGUGCUGCAUGGCUGUCGUCAGCUCGUGUCGUGAGAUGUUGGGUUAAGUCCCGCAACGAGCGCAACCCUUGUCUCUAGUUGCUACGAAAGGGCACUCUAGAGAGACUGCGGGUGACAAACAGGGAGGAAGGUGGGGAUGACGUCCAGUCCUCAUGGCCCUUAUGGGUAGGGCUUCACACGUCAUACAAUGGUGCAUACAGAGGGUUGCCCAGCCGCGAGGUGGAGCUAAUCCCAGAAAAUGCAUCGUAGUCCGGAUCGUAGUCUGCAACUCGACUACGUGAAGCUGGAAUCGCUAGUAAUCGCGGAUCAACAUGCCGCGGUGGAUACAUUUCCGGGUCUUGUACACACACACAAAAA